CCUACGGGAGGCAGCAGUGAGGAAUAUUGGUCAAUGGACGAGAGUCUGAACCAGCUAAGUAGCGUGAAGGAUGACUGCCCUAUGUGUUGUAAACUUCUUUUAUAUGGGAAUAAACUGUUCCACGUGUGGGAUUUUGUAUGUACCAUAUGAAUAAGGAUCGGCUAACUCCGUGCCAGCAGCCGCGGUAAUACGGAGGAUCCGAGCGUUAUCCGGAUUUAUUGGGUUUAAAGGGAGCGUAGGUGGGUUGUUAAGUCAGUUGUGAAAGUUUGCGGCUCAACCGUAAAAUUGCAGUUGAAACUGGCAGUCUUGAGUACAGUAGAGGUGGGCGGAAUUCGUGGUGUAGCGGUGAAAUGCUUAGAUAUCACGAAGAACUCCGAUUGCGAAGGCAGUUCACUGGACUGCAACUGACACUGAGGCUCGAAAGUGUGGGUAUCAAACAGGAUUAGAUACCCCUGUAGUC
Molecule: ribosomal RNA, 460 nt
Filed under: uncultured bacterium
Lineage: Bacteria
Description: partial 16S ribosomal RNA
Rfam family: Bacterial small subunit ribosomal RNA
Source: RNAcentral